CACUCCUGCGGGAGGCAGCAGUGGGGAAUUUUGGACAAUGGGCGAAAGCCUGAUCCAGCAAUGCCGCGUGUGUGAAGAAGGCCUUCGGGUUGUAAAGCACUUUUGUCCGGAAAGAAAUCCUUGGCUCUAAUACAGUCGGGGGAUGACGGUACCGGAAGAAUAAGCACCGGCUAACUACGUGCCAGCAGCCGCGGUAAUACGUAGGGUGCGAGCGUUAAUCGGAAUUACUGGGCGUAAAGCGUGCGCAGGCGGUUUGCUAAGACCGAUGUGAAAUCCCCGGGCUCAACCUGGGAACUGCAUUGGUGACGGGCAGGCUAGAGUAUGGCAGAGGGGGGUAGAAUUCAACGUGUAGCAGUGAAAUGCGUAGAGAUGUGGAGGAAUACCGAUGGCGAAGGCAGCCCCCUGGGCCAAUACUGACGCUCAUGCACGAAAGCGUGGGGAGCAAACAGGAUUAGAAACCCUAGUAGUCCC
Molecule: ribosomal RNA, 471 nt
Filed under: uncultured organism
Description: partial 16S ribosomal RNA
Rfam family: Bacterial small subunit ribosomal RNA
Source: RNAcentral